Molecule: ribosomal RNA, 253 nt
Filed under: uncultured bacterium
Lineage: Bacteria
Description: partial 16S ribosomal RNA
Rfam family: Bacterial small subunit ribosomal RNA
Source: RNAcentral
UACGUAGGGUGCGAGCGUUGUCCGGAAUUAUUGGGCGUAAAGGGUAGGUAGGUGGUCUCAUUUGUCAGGGGUGAAAGCCUUGGGCUUAACUCAAGAAGUGCCUCUGAAACGGUGAGACUGGAGUCUUGGAGAGGGUCGUGGAAUUCCCGGUGUAGCGGUGAAAUGCGUAGAGAUCGGGAGGAACACCAGAGGCGAAGGCGGCGACCUGGACAAGUACUGACACUCAACUACGAAAGCGUGGGAGCAAACAGGG